This 255-nucleotide ribosomal RNA is filed under the name uncultured bacterium. RNAcentral's name for it is "partial 16S ribosomal RNA". It matches the Rfam family "Bacterial small subunit ribosomal RNA", at positions 524 to 776 of the family's 1533-position model. The record is from RNAcentral.
UACGGGGGGGAGCAAGCGUUGUUCGGAUUUACUGGGCGUAAAGGGCGCGUAGGCGGCGUGACAAGUCACUUGUGAAAUCUCCGGGCUUAACUCGGAACGGUCAAGUGAUACUGUCGUGCUAGAGUACAGAAGGGGCAACUGGAAUUCUCGGUGUAGCGGUGAAAUGCGUAGAUAUCGAGAGGAACACCUGCGGCGAAGGCGGGUUGCUGGGCUGAUACUGACGCUGAGGCGCGAAAGCUAGGGGGAGCGAACAGG